This 2187-nucleotide long non-coding RNA is filed under the name Marmota monax (woodchuck). The record is from RNAcentral. Lineage: Eukaryota; Metazoa; Chordata; Mammalia; Rodentia; Sciuridae.
GUCUCACUGAGUUGCUGAACACUUUACCAUUGCUGAGGCUGGUUUUGAACUAGCAAUCCUCCUGCCUCAGCCUCCUGAGCUGCUAGGAUUAUUGGCGCAAGCCACCACACGUGCUAAUAGGAAAGAGACCUCAACCCAAGAAGAGCACUCCGGAGCCUCUUUGGCCUUUUAUGACCAAAUGGAUUGCAGAUAGGUCUGGAACAAGGGGGACAACAGUAGAAUUUAAGUUAAUAAAAAGUUUCUAAGUCUUUCUGCUGAUGGUUUUUACAACAUUAGAGCAGAAGAAGGCUUGUACAAGUUGCUGGGUCUGACAAGGAAAUUAUCAGAAAAUUUCAGUCUCUACCAUCUUCCACAAACAGAUUAACAUGCUCAGAUAAUAAUGCUCUGCAUUUUAAAAUCUGUUUCUAAGGAGACAGGAACAAACAAAAUAUCUUACCCUUCAGGGAUUUGUGUUGUAUACCACAUCAGGCUUAUAAGAAAAGAGAGCUGGGGAAAUAUCAGUCAGGAUAAUCAUUUCUUAUAAGAGAAGCUUACUUAAGUUUAUCCUUCCUUUGGUUUACUGAAAUGGGAGUUGGGAGCAAAACUUAACAUGACUUGAAGAAUAUAUCUCCUUAUCAUUACUACUUGGAAAAUUCUUUCUCUUUUAGCUAUACCCAGUCUUAAUUUGGGGCCACUUCAAUGUGGGAAUUAAUAACUAAAUCAAAGAAAUAGGAAGUUGCUUAGUAUGAAAUAGAUAAAGGUAUCAGGGGAUAGCCUUGCUGCUUUAUUAAAGAAAAUGCACACACAUACACAUGCGCGUACACGCGCGCACACACACACACACACACACACGUUUCACAAACUCCAAUUGACCUUUCUGCUUUCUAUUUAUGCAGAGGAAAUGCCACUAGCUAUUUUGGGUGAUGCAGAGAUAAAGGGGAGUGAUAGAAGUUAAUCAUUUAAUGUCUUUGGGGCUGAGGCUGGAGCAAAAGCUUUAGGCGUAUUAUAAGGGAGUCCAGCCAUCACAGUGGGCUCAGGAUAAAGGAAGCAGACAAAUCAAGCAGUAGCUCAAGGGGGAAGAUGGCAGGGGACACAAAACAGUCUUUUAAGGUGAUGGGAAGACUAAUGGGUUAGAAGGGAAUGGGGCCAGGCCACAAAGGUGGUAAAGGAGCAGUAGUGAGACAAUAAGGAGGAGAGGGGUGUGUGUAUGUGUGAAAGAGAGAAUGGGGGACAGGGCUGGGGUGGACACAGAGUAAAGAAUGUUCUCAAAUAAUUCUGCCACAACCUGUGUGAUGGGGGGCAAUUGAAUGCUUUUGAAGACUUGGAUUCUAGACUUAACUCUUGCCAUUACCGUGUGAUCUGGAGCAAGUCAUUUCCUCUCCACCUGUUUCCUGCCUAUGUCUAAACAUUGCUGUAGAGAAUCGAAAUAGUGUAAUGGGUUAAAUCAAGUGAAAUUGUCAUUGUGGUUCAGCCUAUUAUGUAGAAGUGCUUCAAAUGCUAUAAAAAGCCCUCAUCUUUGGAGGAGGAAUCUUUCACUUUAUUUUUAGGCUGCCUGAUCUUCCAUCAUUAGUGUUUUACCCCUGAAUGCUUCCUUAGGCUUCUAACAUCCUGCUAUUAUCAUACAAAUGCACCCCCCCACUAGAAAUAAUAAUAAUCACUUUGACAUUUUCAGCUGGCACUUGACGAGCUGGGAACCAACAAAGGAGUGAGAAAAUCUCGCAGACAGCAGCUCAGAAAAGACACACACACAUUGCACCGGUCCUGGAUGUUGAGGACAUGUCUUCAGACGUAGGCCUGUCACCCUAUGGAUUGAGCUACACUCACCUGUUCCUUUGUGAUAUUACCCCUUGCCCUGUUUGGGAUAGAAUGUUCCAUGGAAACACUUUGUGUGUUCCUUUCCUUGCUCUGCCUUUGGGAGUGGCCUUCCUAGAUGUCAGUCAACCUGCUGACAGCAGACAUCAGGAAGCUAGGCUCAACCCCCUGAAACCUGACCCCUUGCCUCAUUUGAAUGGCUUCUCCUCAAUAAAAGGGUUCAGCAUGCGCUCUCUUGCUCUCUUUCUGCAGACCCUUAAGGUCAGAGGAGCCAACACAGGACCCCAAAGAAAAAGGUAUCUCUGUCUCUUGUGUGGUUAUUUCAUGCAGCCCGGUUCCCCUGGUGUGACCCUGAGUGUUUUAGUCGUGAGGAACGGGACAUCUCCCCACCCUGCC